CCUACGGGAGGCAGCAGUGGGGGAUAUUGCACAAUGGGGGAAACCCUGAUGCAGCGACGCCGCGUGAGUGAAGAAGGAUUUCGGUAUGUAAAGCCCUAUCAGCAGGGACGAAAAUGACAGUACCUGACCAAGAAGCCCCGGCUAAUUACGUGCCAGCAGCCGCGGUAAUACGUAGGUGGCAAGCGUUAUCCGGAUUUACGGGUUGUAAAGGGAGCGUAGACGGUUAUGGAUGUCUGGAUCGAAAGCCCGGGGCCCAACCCCGGGACUGCGUGGGAAACUGUAUAACUGGAGUACAGGAGGGGCAGGCGGAAUUCCUGGUGUAGCGGUGAAAUGCGUAGAUAUCAGGAGGAACACCGGCGGCGAAGGCGGGCUGCUGGACUGAAACUGACGUUGAGGCGCGAAAGCGUGGGGAGCAAACAGGAUUAGAUACCCGAGUAGUC
Molecule: ribosomal RNA, 440 nt
Filed under: uncultured bacterium
Lineage: Bacteria
Description: partial 16S ribosomal RNA
Rfam family: Bacterial small subunit ribosomal RNA
Source: RNAcentral